CAGUUUUUUAUUAAAAUCAUAAGCCUUUAGUGCAGCAGAGAGCCGGGGAUCCAGGAAAGCUGUUCCGAUAGACCCAGCCCUGGGGAAUAAAAGAGGCUGAUGCACGACCUCCUCCAGCACGAGGGAUCGCAAAGGGAAACAAGCCCCAUCUCCCUUUCAUCCAAGAAUCUCUGAGAAGGUAUCCGGGAUCUGGAGGUUCUCAGUGUCUCGGCUGAAGCGGGAGACAGUGGUGUCCCGUAAAUCCUGAGUGAGAGACAGCUCUGCCAGCCCGACCUACGGCAACAGCAGAAGGGGAGGUGAAUUUUAGAGUUAAUGGUCAAACAUCUAAGUAAGAAAUUGUGGACGUUGGAUUAGAAUUUCACUAAAUGUAAACAUUAAUAUGUGGGAGAAGUGACAAUUGCACGUUGUUGAAAAUUCCCAUCCUAGAACAAAAGCCUGAAGAAAUAUGGAUCAUUGUCCCCAGUCUACGCGGCAGGAAACUGGAAACUCUCAAAGAUGAGCUAUUCAAGCUUAGAGAGAAACCGCUUUCAAGUGGCAGAACCUGGAUUAAAAUUCAGCUCUCCUGCAUUAAAAUCUAGGUCUGCUGGCCCCGAGCUCUCCCUCUCUUUCAUCCCACAGCAUCCCCUAUAUAAUAAACAAUUGAAAAGGUAAAAAUCACGAUUUAAAUAUGCUUUCCCUCAGCAACAAAAACAAUGAAAAAAACCUAAAAAGAAUAAUCACAAUUAGGUACUAUUGACAUCAGUUUAUAAAAAUAUUUGUUUCAUGCAAAUAUUUAAUGAAAACUUGUCAUUUGUAAUAGUAAAUGAUCUAAGUGGGAAGUUUGUCUUCAUUAUUAUUAAAACAUAGUUUAAAUGACGUUAAUAAUUCUAGCAAAAGUAGAUUUAUAUUAGGCUUAUAGCAUAAAGACAAAAUACAUGCAGAUUUGCCACAUUUAAUGUAGAAUAUACCUUCUUUUGAUUUAUUUUUCAGUUCUUAGCGGUCAAGAGAAAACAAAUAUUCUUUCCUCUG
Equus quagga is the source of this 1008-nucleotide long non-coding RNA. RefSeq lists it as uncharacterized. The transcript is spliced from 3 exons. The record is from RefSeq and is a predicted model, not a curated record. Lineage: Eukaryota; Metazoa; Chordata; Mammalia; Perissodactyla; Equidae.